RNAcentral lists this ribosomal RNA (1508 nucleotides) under metagenome. RNAcentral's name for it is "bacterial SSU rRNA". It matches the Rfam family "Bacterial small subunit ribosomal RNA". The record is from RNAcentral.
AGAGUUUGAUCCUGGCUCAGGACGAACGCUGGCGGCGUGCCUAAUACAUGCAAGUCGAGCGGACAGAUGGGAGCUUGCUUCCUGAUGUUAGCGGCGGACGGGUGAGUAACACGUGGGUAACCUGCCUGUAAGACUGGGAUAACUCCGGGAAACCGGGGCUAAUACCGGAUGGUUGUUUGAACCGCAUGGUUCAAACAUAAAAGGUGGCUUCGGCUACCACUUACAGAUGGACCCGCGGCGCAUUAGCUAGUUGGUGAGGUAACGGCUCACCAAGGCGACGAUGCGUAGCCGACCUGAGAGGGUGAUCGGCCACACUGGGACUGAGACACGGCCCAGACUCCUACGGGAGGCAGCAGUAGGGAAUCUUCCGCAAUGGGCGAAAGUCUGACGGAGCAACGCCGCGUGAGUGAUGAAGGUUUUCGGAUCGUAAAGCUCUGUUGUUAGGGAAGAACAAGUGCCGUUCGAAUAGGGCGGUACCUUGACGGUACCUAACCAGAAAGCCACGGCUAACUACGUGCCAGCAGCCGCGGUAAUACGUAGGUGGCAAGCGUUGUCCGGAAUUAUUGGGCGUAAAGGGCUCGCAGGCGGUUUCUUAAGUCUGAUGUGAAAGCCCCCGGCUCAACCGGGGAGGGUCAUUGGAAACUGGGGAACUUGAGUGCAGAAGAGGAGAGUGGAAUUCCACGUGUAGCGGUGAAAUGCGUAGAGAUGUGGAGGAACACCAGUGGCGAAGGCGACUCUCUGGUCUGUAACUGACGCUGAGGAGCGAAAGCGUGGGGAGCGAACAGGAUUAGAUACCCUGGUAGUCCACGCCGUAAACGAUGAGUGCUAAGUGUUAGGGGGUUUCCGCCCCUUAGUGCUGCAGCUAACGCAUUAAGCACUCCGCCUGGGGAGUACGGUCGCAAGACUGAAACUCAAAGGAAUUGACGGGGGCCCGCACAAGCGGUGGAGCAUGUGGAUUAAUUCGAAGCAACGCGAAGAACCUUACCAGGUCUUGACAUCCUCUGACAAUCCUAGAGAUAGGACGUCCCCUUCGGGGGCAGAGUGACAGGUGGUGCAUGGUUGUCGUCAGCUCGUGUCGUGAGAUGUUGGGUUAAGUCCCGCAACGAGCGCAACCCUUGAUCUUAGUUGCCAGCAUUCAGUUGGGCACUCUAAGGUGACUGCCGGUGACAAACCGGAGGAAGGUGAGGAUGACGUCAAAUCAUCAUGCCCCUUAUGACCUGGGCUACACACGUGCUACAAUGGACAGAACAAAGGGCAGCGAAACCGCGAGGUUAAGCCAAUCCCACAAAUCUGUUCUCAGUUCGGAUCGCAGUCUGCAACUCGACUGCGUGAAGCUGGAAUCGCUAGUAAUCGCGGAUCAGCAUGCCGCGGUGAAUACGUUCUCGGGCCUUGUACACACCGCCCGUCACACCACGAGAGUUUGUAACACCCGAAGUCGGUGAGGUAACCUUUUAGGAGCCAGCCGCCGAAGGUGGGACAGAUGAUUGGGGUGAAGUCGUAACAAGGUA